UACGUAGGUGGCAAGCGUUAUCCGGAAUUAUUGGGCGUAAAGAGCACGCAGGUGGUUAAUUAAGUCUGAUGUGAAAGCCCACGGCUUAACCGUGGAGGGUCAUUGGAAACUGGUUGACUUGAGUGCAGAAGAGGGAAGUGGAAUUCCAUGUGUAGCGGUGAAAUGCGUAGAGAUAUGGAGGAACACCAGUGGCGAAGGCGGCUUCCUGGUCUGCAACUGACACUGAGGCGCGAAAGCGUGGGGAGCAAACAGG
This 253-nucleotide ribosomal RNA is filed under the name uncultured bacterium. Its description in RNAcentral is "partial 16S ribosomal RNA". It matches the Rfam family "Bacterial small subunit ribosomal RNA", at positions 524 to 776 of the family's 1533-position model. The record is from RNAcentral.